AACGAACGCUGGCGGCAUGCCUAACACAUGCAAGUCGAACGAAACCUUCGGGUCUAGUGGCGCACGGGUGCGUAACGCGUGGGAACCUGCCCUUAGGUUCGGAAUAACUCCCCGACAGGGGUGCUAAUACCGGAUAAUGUCUUCGGACCAAAGAUUUAUCGCCUUUGGAUGGGCCCGCGUUGGAUUAGCUAGUUGGUAGGGUAAAAGCCUACCAAGGCGACGAUCCAUAGCUGGUCUGAGAGGAUGAUCAGCCACACUGGGACUGAGACACGGCCCAGACUCCUCCGGGAGGCAGCAGUGGGGAAUAUUGGAACAUGGGCGAAAGCAUGAUCCAGCAAUGCCGCGUGAGUGAUGAAGGCAUUAGGGUUGUAAAGCUCUUUUACCCGGGAUGAUAAUGACAGUACCGGGAGAAUAAGCUCCGGCUAACUCCGUG
This 433-nucleotide ribosomal RNA is filed under the name uncultured bacterium. RNAcentral's name for it is "partial 16S ribosomal RNA". It matches the Rfam family "Bacterial small subunit ribosomal RNA", at positions 29 to 507 of the family's 1533-position model. The record is from RNAcentral.